This 3012-nucleotide ribosomal RNA is filed under the name Salmonella enterica subsp. arizonae. RNAcentral describes it as "bacterial LSU rRNA". It matches the Rfam family "Bacterial large subunit ribosomal RNA". Lineage: Bacteria; Pseudomonadati; Pseudomonadota; Gammaproteobacteria; Enterobacterales; Enterobacteriaceae. The record is from RNAcentral.
UUAAGCGACCAAGCGUACACGGUGGAUGCCCUGGCAGUCAGAGGCGAUGAAGGACGUGCUAAUCUGCGAAAAGCGCCGGUAAGGUGAUAUGAACCGUUAUAACCGGCGAUGUCCGAAUGGGGAAACCCAGUGUGACUCGUCACACUAUCAUUAACUGAAUCCAUAGGUUAAUGAGGCGAACCGGGGGAACUGAAACAUCUAAGUACCCCGAGGAAAAGAAAUCAACCGAGAUUCCCCCAGUAGCGGCGAGCGAACGGGGAGGAGCCCAGAGCCUGAAUCAGCAUGUGUGUUAGUGGAAGCGUCUGGAAAGGCGCGCGAUACAGGGUGACAGCCCCGUACACAAAAGCGCAUAUGCUGUGAGCUCGAUGAGUAGGGCGGGACACGUGGUAUCCUGUCUGAAUAUGGGGGGACCAUCCUCCAAGGCUAAAUACUCCUGACUGACCGAUAGUGAACCAGUACCGUGAGGGAAAGGCGAAAAGAACCCCGGCGAGGGGAGUGAAACAGAACCUGAAACCGUGUACGUACAAGCAGUGGGAGCCCCACCACCAAAGCGUUUCGCUUUGCGUGGUGCGCAAAAUGCGUAACGACAGCACGAUUGCGGUUAACGGAGCGUAAGCGACGUUCAACACAAGAAUCAGGCAGUGGAGCGUUUUGGGGUGGGGUGACUGCGUACCUUUUGUAUAAUGGGUCAGCGACUUAUAUUCUGUAGCAAGGUUAACCGAAUAGGGGAGCCGGAGGGAAACCGAGUCUUAAUUGGGCGUUAAGUUGCAGGGUAUAGACCCGAAACCCGGUGAUCUAGCCAUGGGCAGGUUGAAGGUUGGGUAACACUAACUGGAGGACCGAACCGACUAAUGUUGAAAAAUUAGCGGAUGACCUGUGGCUGGGGGUGAAAGGCCAAUCAAACCGGGAGAUAGCUGGUUCUCCCCGAAAGCUAUUUAGGUAGCGCCUCGUGAAUUCAUCUCCGGGGGUAGAGCACUGUUUCGGCCAGGGGGCCAUCCCGGCUUACCAACCCGAUGCAAACUGCGAAUACCGGAGAAUGUUAUCACGGGAGACACACGGCGGGUGCUAACGUCCGUCGUGAAGAGGGAAACAACCCAGACCGCCAGCUAAGGUCCCAAAGUCAUGGUUAAGUGGGAAACGAUGUGGGAAGGCCCAGACAGCCAGGAUGUUGGCUUAGAAGCAGCCAUCAUUUAAAGAAAGCGUAAUAGCUCACUGGUCGAGUCGGCCUGCGCGGAAGAUGUAACGGGGCUAAACCAUGCACCGAAGCUGCGGCAGCGACACUGUGUGUUGUUGGGUAGGGGAGCGUUCUGUAAGCCUGUGAAGGUGUGUCGUGAGGCAUGCUGGAGGUAUCAGAAGUGCGAAUGCUGACAUAAGUAACGAUAAUGCGGGUGAAAAACCCGCACGCCGGAAGACCAAGGGUUCCUGUCCAACGUUAAUCGGGGCAGGGUGAGUCGACCCCUAAGGCGAGGCCGAAAGGCGUAGUCGAUGGGAAACAGGUUAAUAUUCCUGUACCUGGUGUUACUGCGAAGGGGGGACGGAGAAGGCUAUGUUGGCCGGGCGACGGUUGUCCCGGUUUAAGCGUGUAGGCUGGUUUUCCAGGCAAAUCCGGAAAAUCAAGGCUGAGGCGUGACGACGAGGCACUACGGUGCUGAAGCAACAAAUGCCCUGCUUCCAGGAAAAGCCUCUAAGCCUCAGGUAACAUCAGAUCGUACCCGAAACCGACACAGGUGGUCAGGUAGAGAAUACCAAGGCGCUUGAGAGAACCCGGGUGAAGGAACUAGGCAAAAUGGUGCCGUAACUUCGGGAGAAGGCACGCUGACACGUAGGUGAAGCGGUUUACCCGUGGAGCUGAAGUCAGUCGAAGAUACCAGCUGGCUGCAACUGUUUAUUAAAAACACAGCACUGUGCAAACACGAAAGUGGACGUAUACGGUGUGACGCCUGCCCGGUGCCGGAAGGUUAAUUGAUGGGGUCAGCGCAAGCGAAGCUCCUGAUCGAAGCCCCGGUAAACGGCGGCCGUAACUAUAACGGUCCUAAGGUAGCGAAAUUCCUUGUCGGGUAAGUUCCGACCUGCACGAAUGGCGUAAUGAUGGCCAGGCUGUCUCCACCCGGGACUCAGUGAAAUUGAACUCGCUGUGAAGAUGCAGUGUACCCGCGGCAAGACGGAAAGACCCCGUGAACCUUUACUAUAGCUUGACACUGAACACUGGUCCUUGAUGUGCAGGAUAGGUGGGAGGCUUUGAAGUGUGGACGCCAGUCUGCAUGGAGCCGUCCUUGAAAUACCACCCUUUAAUGGCUGGUGUUCUAACGUAGACCCGUGAACCGGGUUGCGGACAGUGUCUGGUGGGUAGUUUGACUGGGGCGGUCUCCUCCUAAAGCGUAACGGAGGAGCACGAAGGUUGGCUAAUCCUGGUCGGACAUCAGGAGGUUAGUGCAAUGGCAUAAGCCAGCUUGACUGCGAGCGUGACGGCGCGAGCAGGUGCGAAAGCAGGUCAUAGUGAUCCGGUGGUUCUGAAUGGAAGGGCCAUCGCUCAACGGAUAAAAGGUACUCCGGGGAUAACAGGCUGAUACCGCCCAAGAGUUCAUAUCGACGGCGGUGUUUGGCACCUCGAUGUCGGCUCAUCACAUCCUGGGGCUGAAGUAGGUCCCAAGGGUAUGGCUGUUCGCCAUUUAAAGUGGUACGCGAGCUGGGUUUAGAACGUCGUGAGACAGUUCGGUCCCUAUCUGCCGUGGGCGCUGGAGAACUGAGGGGGGCUGCUCCUAGUACGAGAGGACCGGAGUGGACGCAUCACUGGUGUUCGGGUUGUCAUGCCAAUGGCACUGCCCGGUAGCUAAAUGCGGAAGAGAUAAGUGCUGAAAGCAUCUAAGCACGAAACUUGCCCUGAGAUGAGUUCUCCCUGAGACUACAAGUCUCCUGAAGGAACGUUGAAGACGACGACGUUGAUAGGCCGGGUGUGUAAGCGCAGCGAUGCGUUGAGCUAACCGGUACUAAUGAACCGUGAGGCUUAACCUU